UUGAGCCGGAUGCGGGGAAACUUGCACGUCCGGUUCUUAGGGGGGGACCUAGCCGCGAGGCUACGUCCCUACCCGAC
RNAcentral lists this non-coding RNA (77 nucleotides) under Halomonas shengliensis. The record is from RNAcentral. Lineage: Bacteria; Pseudomonadati; Pseudomonadota; Gammaproteobacteria; Oceanospirillales; Halomonadaceae.